UCACAUACUUUUUACUGAUAGUAGGAC
Molecule: small RNA, 27 nt
Filed under: Bombyx mori (domestic silkworm)
Lineage: Eukaryota; Metazoa; Arthropoda; Insecta; Lepidoptera; Bombycidae
Description: ovarian small RNA-25046
Source: RNAcentral